RNAcentral lists this non-coding RNA (76 nucleotides) under unclassified sequences. Its description in RNAcentral is "freshwater-2 RNA". It matches the Rfam family "freshwater-2 RNA". Rfam says of the family: Aquatic, esp. fresh water. No recognized genes The record is from RNAcentral.
CGCUCUCAUGGGGAGAGCUUAUGCAGCACCCACUGCGUAGCGACUAGAACUCGCUCUUAUAAGGAGAAAACAAAUG